GGGGGGGGGGGGGGGGGGGGUUGGCGGGGGGGGGGCGGGGGGGGGGGGCGUGCUGGGGGGGGGGGCUCGAGUGGCGACCGGGGGAGUAACACGUGGGUGACCUGCCCUGUACUUUGGGAUAACUUCCGGAAACUGGGGCUAAUACCGGCUCGGAUCUCCUGAGGCAUGUGGGGGGUUGGAUAGUUUCUGCGGUUGGGGCGUGACUCGCGGCAUAUCAGCGUGUUGGUGGGGUAGUGGCUUACCAUGGCUUUGACGGGAAGCCGGCCUGAGGGGGUGACCGGCAACAGUGGGACUGGGAUACGGCCCAGACUACUACGGGAGGCAGCAGUGGUGAAUAUUGCACAAUGGGCGGAAGCCUUAUGCAGCAACGCCGCGUGCGGGAUGACGGCCUUCGGGUUGUAAACCGCUUUCGCCUGUGACGAAGCGUGAGUGACGGUAAUGGGUAAAGAAGCACCGGCUAACUACGUG
Molecule: ribosomal RNA, 468 nt
Filed under: uncultured bacterium
Lineage: Bacteria
Description: partial 16S ribosomal RNA
Rfam family: Bacterial small subunit ribosomal RNA
Source: RNAcentral